RNAcentral lists this ribosomal RNA (408 nucleotides) under uncultured bacterium. RNAcentral's name for it is "partial 16S ribosomal RNA". It matches the Rfam family "Bacterial small subunit ribosomal RNA", at positions 28 to 526 of the family's 1533-position model. The record is from RNAcentral.
GACGAACGCUGGCGGCGUGCUUAACACAUGCAAGUCGAACGAAGUGGCGAACGGGUGAGUAACGCGUAAUCAACCUGCCCUUCAGAGGGGGACAACAGUAGGACACGACGGCUAAUACCGUAUACUGAGGAAGGGGAUUGCGUCGGAUUAGCUAGUUGGAGGGGUAACGGCCCACCAAGGCGAUGAUCAGUAGCCGGUCUUGGAGGAUGAACGGCCACAUUGGGACUGAUACACGGCCCAGACUCCUACGGGAGGCAGCAGUGGGGAAUCUUUCGCAAUGGACGAAAGUCUGACGGGGCAACGCCGCGUGAGUGAUGACGGCCUUCGGGUUGUAAAGCUCUGUUAAUCGGGACGCGGUACCGGAAUAGAAAGCCACGGCUAACUACGUGCCAACAGCCGCGGUAAUUC